RNAcentral lists this ribosomal RNA (611 nucleotides) under Thanatephorus sp. CBS 341.84. RNAcentral's name for it is "eukaryotic LSU rRNA". The stretch from base 197 to 350 matches the Rfam family "5.8S ribosomal RNA". The record is from RNAcentral. Lineage: Eukaryota; Fungi; Basidiomycota; Agaricomycetes; Cantharellales; Ceratobasidiaceae.
UGGUCCCUAGUUAACUUGGGGGCAUGUGCACACCUUUCUCUUUCUCCCAUACACACCUGUGCACCUGUGAGACAGAUGUUUUCUAGAGGGGAGAAGGAACUUUAUUGGACCUACUCUUCUUGGACUCUGUCUACUUAAUCUAUAUAAACUCAAUUUAUUUUAAAAUGAAUGUAAUGGAUGUAACACAUCUAAUACUAAGUUUCAACAACGGAUCUCUUGGCUCUCGCAUCGAUGAAGAACGCAGCGAAAUGCGAUAAGUAAUGUGAAUUGCAGAAUUCAGUGAAUCAUCGAAUCUUUGAACGCACCUUGCGCUCCUUGGUAUUCCUUGGAGCAUGCCUGUUUGAGUAUCAUGAAAUCUUCAAAGUCAAACCUUUUGUUAACUCAAUUGGUUCUGCUUUGGUAUUGGAGGUCUAUUGCAGCUUCACACCUGCUCCUCUUUGUGCAUUAGCUGGAUCUCAGUGUUAUGCUUGGUUCCACUCAGCGUGAUAAGUUAUCUAUCGCUGAGGACACCCUGUUAAAAAGGGGUGGCCAAGGUAAAUGCAGAUGAACCGCGUCUAACAGUCCAUUGAAAGGACAAAUAUUCAUUUUAGAGGGUGGUCCCAGGAAAAGGG